RNAcentral lists this ribosomal RNA (253 nucleotides) under uncultured Eubacteriales bacterium. RNAcentral's name for it is "uncultured Clostridiales bacterium partial 16S ribosomal RNA". It matches the Rfam family "Bacterial small subunit ribosomal RNA", at positions 524 to 776 of the family's 1533-position model. Lineage: Bacteria; Bacillati; Bacillota; Clostridia; Eubacteriales. The record is from RNAcentral.
UACAGAGGGUGCGAGCGUUGUCCGGAUUUACUGGGUGUAAAGGGCGUGUAGGCGGAGAUGCAAGUUGGGAGUGAAAUCCCGGGGCUCAACCCCGGAACUGCUUUCAAAACUGCAUCCCUUGAGUAUCGGAGAGGCAAGCGGAAUUCCUAGUGUAGCGGUGAAAUGCGUAGAUAUUAGGAGGAACACCAGUGGCGAAGGCGGCUUGCUGGACGACAACUGACGCUGAGGCGCGAAAGCGUGGGGAGCAAACAGG